Molecule: ribosomal RNA, 439 nt
Filed under: uncultured bacterium
Lineage: Bacteria
Description: bacterial SSU rRNA
Rfam family: Bacterial small subunit ribosomal RNA
Source: RNAcentral
CCUACGGGGGGCAGCAGUGGGGAAUAUUGCACAAUGGGCGAAAGCCUGAUGCAGCAACGCCGCGUGAGCGAUGAAGGCCUUCGGGUCGUAAAGCUCUGUCCUCAAGGAAGAUAAUGACGGUACUUGAGGAGGAAGCCCCGGCUAACUACGUGCCAGCAGCCGCGGUAAUACGUAGGGGGCUAGCGUUAUCCGGAUUUACUGGGCGUAAAGGGUGCGUAGGCGGUCUUUUAAGUCAGGAGUGAAAGGCUACGGCUCAACCGUAGUAAGCUCUUGAAACUGGAGGACUUGAGUGCAGGAGAGGAGAGUGGAAUUCCUAGUGUAGCGGUGAAAUGCGUAGAUAUUAGGAGGAACACCAGUAGCGAAGGCGGCUCUCUGGACUGUAACUGACGCUGAGGCACGAAAGCGUGGGGAGCAAACAGGAUUAGAUACCCCCGUAGUC